GUCGGCGAGGGCCGCGGCGUAGCUGGAGGCUGCGGUAGCUGACAUUCUGGCUCCCGUGGCGCCGGUGGAGCGGCGGGUGGCGGCGGCGGCGGUGGUGGUGGUGGUAACGCCGAAUUUGAGCUUGAGGGGGGUGAAGGUGGUACCAUGGAGGGAGAGGUUGAGGAUGGGUUUCUGGGAGAGGGUAUUUCGGGGGAUUAGGAUGUGUUUGGAUUGGAGGGAAGCUGUGGGGUGCUGCAAAGACGCCAUUUUUCGGAAUGAGGAAGAAUGAGUCUUGUGUUGUGGUGUCUCUUUUUCUUUUCUUUUCUUUUCACUUGGUGUUAAACAAGAGGCUG
This 332-nucleotide long non-coding RNA is filed under the name Glycine max (soybean). RNAcentral's name for it is "long non-coding RNA (GMAX_LNC003879)". Lineage: Eukaryota; Viridiplantae; Streptophyta; Magnoliopsida; Fabales; Fabaceae. The record is from RNAcentral.